AGUGAACGCUGGCGGUAGGCCUAACACAUGCAAGUCGAACGGCAGCACGGUAAGAGCUUGCUCUUACGGGUGGCGAGUGGCGGACGGGUGAGGAAUACAUCGGAAUCUACUUUUUCGUGGGGGAUAACGUAGGGAAACUUACGCUAAUACCGCAUACGACCUACGGGUGAAAGCAGGGGAUCUUCGGACCUUGCGCGAUUGAAUGAGCCGAUGUCGGAUUAGCUAGUUGGCGGGGUAAAGGCCCACCAAGGCGACGAUCCGUAGCUGGUCUGAGAGGAUGAUCAGCCACACUGGAACUGAGACACGGUCCAGACUCCUACGGGAGGCAGCAGUGGGGAAUAUUGGACAAUGGGCGCAAGCCUGAUCCAGCCAUACCGCGUGGGUGAAGAAGGCCUUCGGGUUGUAAAGCCCUUUUGUUGGUAAAGAAAAGCAGCAGGUUAAUACCCCGCUGUUCUGACGGUACCCAAAGAAUAAGCACCGGCUAACUUCGUG
Molecule: ribosomal RNA, 492 nt
Filed under: uncultured bacterium
Lineage: Bacteria
Description: partial 16S ribosomal RNA
Rfam family: Bacterial small subunit ribosomal RNA
Source: RNAcentral